This 301-nucleotide ribosomal RNA is filed under the name uncultured bacterium. RNAcentral describes it as "partial 16S ribosomal RNA". It matches the Rfam family "Bacterial small subunit ribosomal RNA", at positions 509 to 808 of the family's 1533-position model. The record is from RNAcentral.
CAGCAGCCACGGUAAUACAGAGGGUGCGAGCGUUAAUCGGAUUUACUGGGCGUAAAGCGUGCGUAGGCGGCUUCUUAAGUCGGAUGUGAAAUCCCUGAGCUUAACUUAGGAAUUGCAUUCGAUACUGGGAAGCUAGAGUAUGGGAGAGGAUGGUAGAAUUCCAGGUGUAGCGGUGAAAUGCGUAGAGAUCUGGAGGAAUACCGAUGGCGAAGGCAGCCAUCUGGCCUAAUACUGACGCUGAGGUACGAAAGCAUGGGGAGCAAACAGGAUUAGAUACCCCAGUAGUCCCUGUCCCUUAUCC